GACGACAAGCGACGCCUGUUCCUGAGACGACAAGCGACGCCUGUUCCUGAGACGACAAGCGACGCCUGUUCCUGAGACGACAAGCGACGCCUGUUCCUGAGACGACAAGCGACGCCUGUUCCUGAGACGACAAGCGACGCCUGUUCCUGAGACGACAAGCGACGCCUGUUCCUAAGACGACAAGCGACGCCUGUUCCUAAGACGACAAGCGAUAGACACUCACCUGUACUGACCAGGAGACCUUUGAAUCUCUAAUGUAACGAGCGUAGAUGUUUUCUCUGUUAUCAAUCUACAUCUUUAUCACAGUUAAUAAGGGUGAUGUUUAACUCUUGACUGGAAAAAACAGUUGAGUUGGUCUAACUUUUUACAUCAGCAGGGCUAGUGUUGGCGAAGUUUAUGUUUUUGUUGCAAUUUCCUCGGCCACGUGCCAAUUCACAAUUACAACAACUGUUUUUAGAAGCGUUGUUUAUUUGGUGGGUCACUAGACGACGUGAACUAUUUGAGUCCGAAUGUCUAUAUUUGAGAAAUGAUAAAGGUCAGUAGUGUUAAAUUAAAUGUAAAAUAAAUAGUUUACAGUGACUGUGAUUUUUGGUUUUCUUACCCACCUUAGUUGAAUGCAUUGACUAAGUUGCUCUGGAUAACUCUUUGACAAAUUAGCAAUAGGUCAUUCCAGUCAAAUAUAGGUGAUUUCCAGUAUUGUGCUUGUGUUCCAGUCUGAUAUAGGUGAUUUCCAGUAUUGUGCUUGUGUUCCAGUCUGAUAUAGGUGAUUUCCAGUAUUGUGCUUGUGUUCCAGUCUGAUAUAGGUGAUUUCCAGUAUUGUGCUUGUGUUCCAGUCUGAUAUAGGUGAUUUCCAGUAUUGUGCUUGUGUUCCAGUCUGAUAUAGGUGAUUUCCAGUAUUGUGCUUGUGUUCCAGUCUGAUAUAGGUGAUUUCCAGUAUUGUGCUUGUGUUCCAGUCUGAUAUAGGUGAUUUCCAGUAUUGUGCUUGUGUUCCAGUCUGAUGAAGGUGAUUCCAGUGUUGUGGUUUGUGGAUGUGUUCCAGUAUAAUGGAUGUGUUCCAGUAUAAUGAAGGUGAUUCCAGUGUUGUGGUUUGUGGAUGU
Molecule: long non-coding RNA, 1097 nt
Organism: Oncorhynchus gorbuscha (pink salmon)
Lineage: Eukaryota; Metazoa; Chordata; Actinopteri; Salmoniformes; Salmonidae
Exons: 3
Source: RefSeq, a predicted model, not a curated record